UUGCCUCAUGAAUAAUAUAUGAGAUAAUACCUGCCCAGUGACAUGACAUGUUCAACGGCCGCGGUAUCCUAACCGUGCAAAGGUAGCAUAAUCACUUGCCUAUUAAUUGUAGGCUAGAAUGAAAGGGUUAACGAAAUAAAGACUGUCUCAAUUAGCAAACUAAAAAUUAUUCUCUACCUGAAGAAAAGUAGAUAGCCUCGAAGGACAAGAAGACCCUAUAGAGCUUAAUUUUACUUAUAGGCCUGUACUAUAAAAAUAUUCGGUUGGGGCGACCCAGGGCAAAACAAUCACCCGCACCAUAAAAGAUAUAUUAAUCAAGAAAUUGACCCUUUAAAGAUCAUAAGAACAAGCUACCUUAGGGAUAACAGGCUAAUCCCACUCAAGAGUCCUUAUCAACAGUGGGGUUUGGCACCUCGAUGUUGGCUUAGGGUAUCUAUACAGCGCAAAAGUUAUAUAAAGAUGGUUUGUUCAACCAAUAACACCCCUACAUGAGCUGAGUUCAGACCGGCGUAAGCCAGGUUAGCUUCUAUCCUCGACUACCAUAUUUGCCCCUAGUACGAAAGGACCUGGGUAAAAUAAUCACUUAUACAAAAGAAUACAUGUAACAAAUAAUAAAACAAAUACCUAUAUAAACUAUA
Molecule: ribosomal RNA, 638 nt
Filed under: Megascolecidae sp. MPL-2014
Lineage: Eukaryota; Metazoa; Annelida; Clitellata; Crassiclitellata; Megascolecidae
Description: partial 16S ribosomal RNA
Rfam family: Bacterial large subunit ribosomal RNA (bases 1-553)
Source: RNAcentral